Melospiza melodia melodia is the source of this 2017-nucleotide long non-coding RNA. RefSeq lists it as uncharacterized. Lineage: Eukaryota; Metazoa; Chordata; Aves; Passeriformes; Passerellidae. The transcript has 3 exons. The record is from RefSeq and is a predicted model, not a curated record.
UGCUUAGAACUCCAAUGUCAGUGUUUGCAGGCAUUCCUCCUGGCUGUCCACACUUCUGCCACAAUAGCUCGAGUUUUGCGUCCUCUCCUUUCAGGGUUUCUGCUGUGGAUGGAUGCCAUUGUUGAGACUCUGUUUGCCAUGGAGCAAAGGGACAUCCAUGUGCCACAAAAAAGCCAUCUCACCAUUUAUCUUACAGCUUUUAGUGAACCCUCUCCUCCCGACCACCAGAUCUUGCACUUUACCAGGGGCUCUAAGUGAAGCUGAGCAGGAUGAAAAUCGUUUCCACGGUGUUAAUCACAUUAAGAAUUUCAAGCCUGGAUGCCAGGAGGGUGAUGAAUAAGAGCUAAACCACCUUGAUGGAUCUGGAAGUUUCACUGGAAUUUCCCUUGCCUUGGAAAUGGAGUCCAGCCACGAUAAGAAUUGCCACAGCUUUCUUCACUGAUGGACCUUCAAAGAGAUUGUUCCUUCAAGGUGUGUCAGGCAGCAGAUUCUGAGGAGAAGGAGAUGCUGGGGCUGUGCUGAGGUCUGUGUGAUAACAGAGCAGUGUGGCAUUUCUGAGCACCCCUGUGGAAAAGAAGCCCCUACCUACAUUUUUAUGGUCUGUCCACAGAUGAAAAGGUGCCUUUACAAGAUGUCCUUCUUCGUACUCUAAACAUGAAGCCUGUAAUUAAAUAGCAAAAACGAAGUUACCAAGCAAUUUAGCUCACAGAAAAAGAGCCAUCAUGUUUGCCAGAUUUUUGUCAGUGAAGUCUGAGAUCAAAGGGAGAUUGGACAUCAGAAACUGGAAUAAAUCCCAUGGGUUGUGAUUUUUCAGGCUUCAGGUGGGUCCUACCUGAUGCAGGGACUCCUGCUUUGGAUCCAUGGAGCUCCAGCUGUGCCUCGUGGCUGUUUUUGAACACAAAACUCAGCAAUGGGACCACUCUGCCCAAGAGCUCACCCAAAGCAACACCAGAGAUUAUCUUUCAUGGGCAAACACAUCUUAAUCUCUUCAAAGAUUAAGGCAUUGGAUAUUCACAGGUGAAGGUGUCUUGAAAAUGCUGUCCAGGGAAGUCUUUGCAGUGCUCUGGUUUGUUUUAAGGCCUCUUUUGUCCUGUCUGAAUCAUGAAGGGACAAUUUACAGCUCAUGCAGUAAGGCAUGCAUGCUGUGUGUGCUGAAUGAAUUUUAUUCAUAUAAGGAACAGACUCAGAUUUCUUAAACUGAUAGUGUUUUCAGUAUUACCUUAAAAGUCCUCCAUACAAUGUUUGAAAAAAUGUUUGAAACCUAAAGUUUCUUAUAAAUACAUUUUUCAAGAUGUAGGAGGAAAUUUCUGUGUGUUUCUGCUCCUACAAAUGAUAUUGGCAUUAUUUUAUUGACAUUGAUUCCAGCUUUGUUGCAAUAACUUUCUUCUGAUGCUGUGGUCUUUGCUAUGACUUGGCUAGACUUGCCUAGAAAACCAAAAUUAGAAGAAGAGUUGCAGUUCAGAAAAUAUUUAUUGCUAUACUAAUUACAUGUAAAAAGUAAUUUAUACAAAUCAUAUAUUGCAAAAUUCCUCCAGGAAAAAUAAAAAAGCCCCACAUAGUAGUUGGAAUAAAACAGCUGGUUACCUUUCAGUUUUAUUGGCAUGAUCACUGUGAUUGCAUCAAGCCAACUCCUCAGCUAAUGAAAACUAGCAAAGCUCUAUUGCCUCCAGUACCCACUGCUUCAACCAGAAAUAAAUCUUUGGCUCCUUCAUUGUAUGUGCAAGGCAAGUAAAUUUAGGGAUUUUAUUAAUUUUUUUAAAGAUCAUUGUUAUUGAGGGCAGAAAAAGACAAAAACUACUGGCUGAAAUUUUUCCCAUGUAGGGAAGUAACACAGCCCAGGGCAGGAACAUCCCUGUGGUUUGGGGUGGAGGUUGAAAUAAAAAUGAGGGGUCUGGGAUGGAAACUGGGCAAUGAGCAGGAGAUGAUCCCACACCUUGUGCAAAGUGUCCUGCCUGUUAUUUAUUCAGUGCAAUGAUUAUUAUUUUAAGACUUUUAUUUUCUAAUUGCUCAUGGCUGU